This 484-nucleotide ribosomal RNA is filed under the name uncultured bacterium. RNAcentral's name for it is "partial 16S ribosomal RNA". It matches the Rfam family "Bacterial small subunit ribosomal RNA", at positions 30 to 507 of the family's 1533-position model. The record is from RNAcentral.
AUUGAACGCUGGCGGCAGGCCUAACACAUGCAAGUCGAGCGGAUGAAGGGAGCUUGCUCCUGGAUUCAGCGGCGGACGGGUGAGUAAUGCCUAGGAAUCUGCCUGGUAGUGGGGGAUAACGUCCGGUAACGGGCGCUAAUACCGCAUACGUCCUGAGUGAGAAAGUGGGGGAUCUUCGGACCUCACGCUAUCAGAUGAGCCUAGGUCGUAUUAGCUAGUUGGUGUGGUAAAGGCCUACCAAGGCGACGAUCCGUAACUGGUCUGAGAGGAUGAUCAGUCACACUGGAACUGAGACACGGUCCAGACUCCUACGGGAGGCAGCAGUGGGGAAUAUUGGACAAUGGGCGAAAGCCUGAUCCAGCCAUGCCGCGUGUGUGAAGAAGGUCUUCGGAUUGUAAAGCACUUUAAGUUGGGAGGAAGGGAAGUAAGUUAAUACCUUGCUGUUUUGACGUUACCAACAGAAUAAGCACCGGCUAACUUCGUG